RNA transcript from Juglans regia (Persian walnut), 1913 nucleotides. It is a transcript of the gene named aspartic proteinase Asp1-like, with no coding region annotated. The transcript has 10 exons. Lineage: Eukaryota; Viridiplantae; Streptophyta; Magnoliopsida; Fagales; Juglandaceae. The record is from RefSeq and is a predicted model, not a curated record.
CGCGUUAUAACGCUGCUCCUGCGCUCCGGCGAUGUGACUGCCCAUGGGAUCCAAAUCUCUCUCUUUGUUUCCCACGUCCCGCAAAACACUUUCUAAAAUUCCCAACUGUAUUUUGUGACAGAAAACAUGUAUAUAAAUAAGCUCAGGAAUCAGACAAGACAGUGGAAUCCUAAACCUUUUGAACUGUUCUCUGAUCCAAAAGAAACGCAAUUUGUCUGCAAUUGAAAAAGCAGGUCAAGAUGGGUGAGAAAGGGCAGACAAUUAUGAUGGCGUUGACGGCCUUUUUCUUUCUGGGUAUGUUCGCAACUUUCCCUGCAGGCUGUUUCUCAGACUCCAAUCAGCACCCUCAGAGCAAGAAAAAGUCCGUCCACCUCGCAUCCCCUAAUCGCUUUGGCUCUUCAGUUAUUUUUCCUGUUCAAGGAAACGUUUAUCCUCUUGGGUACUACUUUGUAACCCUCAAGAUAGGCCAUCCGCCUAAGCUGUACGACCUUGAUAUUGAUUCUGGCAGUGACCUCACUUGGGUCCAAUGCGAUGCACCUUGUACCGGUUGCACCAAGCCCCGUAAUCGACUUUAUAAACCGAACAAUAACGUUGUCACUUAUGCAGAUCCUGUGUGCGCUGCCAUGCGCUACCCGGGAAACCAGAAGGCGAAGGACCCUAAUGAGCAGUGCGACUAUGUGGUCACAUAUGCUGAUCAUGGAUCUUCCCUUGGUGUGCUGGUCAAGGACUACUUUCCCCUUCGCUUUACCAAUGGCUCCAUCAUUGGUCCCCGUUUGGCCUUUGGGUGUGGAUAUGACCAAAAAUAUUCGGGGCCGCACUCUCCACCAUCCACAGCGGGAGUCUUGGGCCUCGGCAAUGGUAAAGCAAGCAUAGUGUCACAAUUGCAUACUAUGGGUUUAACACGGGAUGUAGUAGGCCACUGUUUAAGUGGACGACGGGGAGGAUUCUUAUUCUUUGGAGAUGACCUUGUCCCUUCUUCAGGAAUCAUAUGGUUGCCAACUUCACGCAAUUCUCCGGAGUACCACUACACAUCAGGACCAGCUGAACUUCUUUUUGGUGGAAAGUCUACUGGGGUAAAUGGUCUCCUCGUUGUCUUUGACAGUGGAAGUUCUUAUACAUACUUCAAUUCCCAAGCUUACCGAGCCACAGUCAAUCUGCUGACAAAAGAAUUAAAUGGAAAGCCAUUGAAGGAUGCACCAGAGGACCAAUCACUCCCAAUCUGCUGGAAAGGCACAAAGCCUUUCAAAUCUGUUGGUGAUGUCAAGAACUACUUCAAGCCUUUAAUACUGAGCUUUACACAUGCCAAGAAUGUUCAGCUACAAUUAGCACCUGAAGCAUAUCUUAUUGUUACAAAACAAGGCAAUGUAUGCUUGGGAAUUUUGAAUGGCACCGAAGUAGGACUCAAGAAUCUAAACAUAAUUGGAGACAUAUCUUUGCAAGACAAAAUGGUGAUUUAUGACAAUGAAAAGCAGCAAAUUGGAUGGACUCCUGCAAAUUGUGAGAGGCUUCCAAGUGCGGAUCGUGAUUCUAGUGAAGGUUUUUCUCAUCAUUAUGCACUUAUUCUACCUGAGGAUUUCCCUGCAACUUAUGCUUCAUGAGAAGAUCAAUAAGUGGCUAGCAAAAAGCUUCAAGGCAGAAGAAUAGGCAAAAAUAACAAGUUCAAGUGCCAAACAGCUUCCUUGGCGCUAUGCGUUAUGCUCUACAAGCUCCACCAGAAGAACGCACUAUCGUGCAAUACGAUACGAAGCUCUGACUUCUCCUUUUUCAAGAGCUCCAUGCUUCCCCAACUAACAACAUGAGAUUGUAAUCCUCAGCAACAUCUUCAACUUAGAGUCCUCUACAGUGUACCCCUACUAAACGAUCUAUUUAGUCGACAAUUCCAGAAACCACCUUUGUGACAACUUUUUUAUUGC